Molecule: long non-coding RNA, 418 nt
Filed under: Ananas comosus (pineapple)
Lineage: Eukaryota; Viridiplantae; Streptophyta; Magnoliopsida; Poales; Bromeliaceae
Description: long non-coding RNA (ACOM_LNC014783)
Source: RNAcentral
AUUUUUGUUUAUUCUUAAAUUAGAUAUAAUUUCUAGAAUAGGCAUGAAUUAAUUUAAUUUUGUGUUUAGACGAGAACUGAGAUAUUUAGAAAAAUAAAAAAAAAAUGUGUUUGGGUGAUUAGGUUGAAAUAGUAGAAAUAAGAGUAAUUAUAAUUGAAAGUAAAAAUAAUUUAUCUAAAUAAUAAGCAUCUAAGCAUUAGUAAAAUAAUAUUUUAAUAAGUUAAUAAAUAAAUUAAUUAAAAUUACUAUAGAGAUGAUGUGUAGUGUCCCUGGGGUUUAGCUGUCCGAGUGACUGUAGUAUCUGUGGCUUGUCGACACGUCUAGAGAGUGUCGGGACGAGUCGGAAUCGUUUUGGUGCGAAAUUGACGCGGAAACGAACUCAGCGCAGUGCGAGUUGGAGUUCUGACCCUGAAAUCUG